CUUCCCUAGGGUGAACCUGCGGAAGGAUCAUUAAAGAUUGAACGUCUGUCGAGCUUGCUCACAGGCACAUCAUAUCCAUAACACCUGUGCACUUGUCGGAUGGCUUAGUGAAGACCCCAAGGUUGGAACUAUCCCUCUACUUUACAUAACAAAUCUGUAACAAAAGUAGUCUUAUUAUAACAUAAAAAAACUUUCAACAACGGAUCUCUUGGCUCUCGCAUCGAUGAAGAACGCAGCGAAAAGCGAUAAGUAAAGUGAAAUGCAGAAAUCAGUGAAACAUCGAAACUUUGAACGCACCUUGCGCUCCUUGGUAUUCCCAGGAGCAUGCCUGUUUGAGUGUCAUGAAAACCCUCAACCUUAGAUUGGUUAAAACCUUUCUUUGGCUUGGAUUUGGACGUUUGCCCAUGAUAAGUCGGCUCGUCUUAAAAGUAAAAGCUGGAUCUGUCUCGCGACAUGGUUUGACUUGGCGUAAAAAGUAUUUCGCUAAGGACAUCUUCGGAUGGCCCCGUUGCAAGACUAAAGACCCCUUUCUAAAUCAUUGAUCUUCGGAUUAAAAUUCUUGACAUCUGGCCUCAAAACAGGUAGGACUACCCCCUGAACUUAAGCAUAUCAAAAAGCCCGAGGAAGGAU
This 630-nucleotide ribosomal RNA is filed under the name Naganishia uzbekistanensis. Its description in RNAcentral is "eukaryotic LSU rRNA". The stretch from base 189 to 342 matches the Rfam family "5.8S ribosomal RNA". The record is from RNAcentral. Lineage: Eukaryota; Fungi; Basidiomycota; Tremellomycetes; Filobasidiales; Filobasidiaceae.